UACGGGGGGGGCAAGCGUUGUUCGGAAUUACUGGGCGUAAAGGGCUCGUAGGCGGCCAACUAAGUCAGACGUGAAAUCCCUCGGCUUAACCGGGGAACUGCAUCUGAUACUGGAUGGCUUGAGAUUGGGAGAGGGAUGUGGAAUUCCAGGUGUAGCGGUGAAAUGCGUAGAUAUCUGGAGGAACACCGGUGGCGAAGGCGGCAUCCUGGACCGAGAUUGACGCUGAGGCGCGAAAGCUAGGGGAGCAAACGGG
This 253-nucleotide ribosomal RNA is filed under the name uncultured bacterium. Its description in RNAcentral is "partial 16S ribosomal RNA". It matches the Rfam family "Bacterial small subunit ribosomal RNA", at positions 524 to 776 of the family's 1533-position model. The record is from RNAcentral.